AGGACUAACGCUGGCGGCGUGCCUAACACAUGCAAGUCGAACGAAGUAGCAAUACUUAGUGGCAGACGGGUGAGUAACACGUAGUCAACCUGCCCUUCAAUGGGGGAUAACUAGCCGAAAGGUUAGCUAAUACCGCAUACGAUCUCUGAGUGGCAUCACUCGGCGAUGAAAGGAGUAAUCCGUUGAAGGAGGGGACUGCGUCCCAUUAGUUAGUUGGUGGGGUAAUGGCCUACCAAGACUCCGAUGGGUAGCUGGCUUGAGAGAGCGACCAGCCACACUGGAACUGAGACACGGUCCAGACUCCUACGGGAGGCAGCAGUGAGGAAUUUUCCGCAAUGGGGGAAACCCUGACGGAGCGACGCCGCGUGUGGGAAGAAGGCCUUCGGGUCGUAAACCACUGUCGAGGGGGACGAGUAUUGACGGUACCCCUGGAGGAAGCCCGGCUAACUACGCGCCAGCAGCCGC
Molecule: ribosomal RNA, 465 nt
Filed under: uncultured bacterium
Lineage: Bacteria
Description: SSU rRNA
Rfam family: Bacterial small subunit ribosomal RNA
Source: RNAcentral